AUAGAAUAGAUCAUGUAAUUUAUUACAUUCAUUAAAAUUUCUUUUUAGUCUAAAAUAUUUAUUCUA
This 66-nucleotide transfer RNA is filed under the name Pseudogriphoneura sp. ACMJ-2016. RNAcentral describes it as "partial tRNA-Ile". Lineage: Eukaryota; Metazoa; Arthropoda; Insecta; Diptera; Lauxaniidae. The record is from RNAcentral.